This 606-nucleotide long non-coding RNA is filed under the name Phoenix dactylifera (date palm). RNAcentral describes it as "long non-coding RNA (PDAC_LNC019472)". Lineage: Eukaryota; Viridiplantae; Streptophyta; Magnoliopsida; Arecales; Arecaceae. The record is from RNAcentral.
CAGGUUAUUGUGCUUGCAUUGGUUCCAAGCACAUGCCAAAGCUUCUAGAAACUAAAAUGGGCACAUGACAGCCCAUAUCGGUCUGUACCAGUUUGGAUCAGAUUGGCACACUCCAGCAAGCAUUGUCGUUAGAAUCUUCCUUUUCAUUAUCCAGAUCUUAGGAUCCGGAUCCAAAUGGCCUAAAAUGAUCCAGCUAUCUAUUCUUUGGAUUAGGAUCAAUUAAGAAGAUAAAAUCUCGAUAUAGUCCCUUAGAUUAUAAGAUCUGUCUAGAUUAUGUUACUUCGAUACUAAAUAAUAUUGUCAACAAUGCCACGCCCCUUAAUAAACGCGGUCUGAUUGAGGCUGACUAUCUUAGGGAGAAUCGAAGCAAGUCUAUUGGCGAGUAUCUGGUAUGGAGUAUGCUCCAUUUUCCAUAGUUUAUUUGAUUAUAUGACUCCUAAAUUACUUAUUACGAAUAAGCCUUGAAUACUAAAUUAGCAAGCUUGUUACUGGAGUUCAUGAAAAUUUUGUAUUCAUGCAAUCAUAUAUUAAAAUCUUACCCUUGUUUCUUUUCUAAGGCAUUCUAUUAAUUGAAUUAAUAGGUGGUAUAUAACUAUCAUGAAUAAC